Molecule: ribosomal RNA, 301 nt
Filed under: uncultured bacterium
Lineage: Bacteria
Description: partial 16S ribosomal RNA
Rfam family: Bacterial small subunit ribosomal RNA
Source: RNAcentral
CAGUAGCCGCGGGAACACAGAGGGUGCAAGCGUUAAUCGGAAUUACUGGGCGUAAAGCGCGCGUAGGUGGUUUGUUAAGUUGGAUGUGAAAUCCCCGGGCUCAACCUGGGAACUGCAUCCAAAACUGGCAAGCUAGAGUAUGGUAGAGGGUGGUGGAAUUUCCUGUGUAGCGGUGAAAUGCGUAGAUAUAGGAAGGAACACCAGUGGCGAAGGCGACCACCUGGACUGAUACUGACACUGAGGUGCGAAAGCGUGGGGAGCAAACAGGAUUAGAUACCCCCGUAGUCCCUGUCUCUUAUAC